RNAcentral lists this ribosomal RNA (497 nucleotides) under uncultured bacterium. RNAcentral describes it as "partial 16S ribosomal RNA". It matches the Rfam family "Bacterial small subunit ribosomal RNA", at positions 28 to 507 of the family's 1533-position model. The record is from RNAcentral.
GAUGAACGCUGGCGGCGUGCCUAACACAUGCAAGUCGAACGGAAAGACGAGAAGCGUGUUCCUCUAACGGUGGCGGCGGGCGGGUGAGUAACGCAUGCAUCACCUACCUAUAUGACGUGGAUAACAUCGUGGAGCAGGUGCUGAUAAUGGAUAAUAUAUUCAACGGGAGGGUUCAAUAGUUCAUGACGGUUUUGCUGGCUCAUAGAGCUGGAUCCGCGUCGGAUUAGCUAGUUGGUAAGGUAACGGCUUACCAAGGCGACGAUGCGUAGCCGACCUGAGAGGGUGAUCGGCCACACUGGAACUGAGACACGGUCCAGACUCCUACGGGAGGCAGCAGUAGGGAAUCUUCGGCAAUGGGCGAAAGCUUGACCGAGCAACGCCGCGUGGGUGAUGAAGGUCUUCGGAUCGUAAAACUCUGUUAUUGGGGAAGAACAACUGUAGAAGUAACGAUGCACGUCUUGACGGUACCUAAACAAAAAGCACCGGCUAACUACGUG